This 182-nucleotide non-coding RNA is filed under the name Pongo abelii (Sumatran orangutan). The record is from RNAcentral. Lineage: Eukaryota; Metazoa; Chordata; Mammalia; Primates; Hominidae.
CCAGAUACACUAUGCUGAGGCUGAGGAUCAGAUACACUAUGCUGAGGCUGAGGAUCAGAUACGCUAUGCUGAGGACCAGAUACACUAUGCUGAGGCUGAGGACCAGAUACACUAUGCUGAGGACCAGAUACACUAUGCUGAGGCUGAGGAUCAGAUACAUCUCCUUCCUGUCUUCAGGGCAA